AAAGGUGUAGUUCAAUGGUAGAACUUAGGUCUCCAAAACCUACUGUGGUACUUCGAUUCUAUCCACCCCUA
Non-coding RNA from Cladochytrium replicatum, 71 nucleotides. The record is from the annotation of a GenBank genome assembly. Lineage: Eukaryota; Fungi; Chytridiomycota; Chytridiomycetes; Cladochytriales; Cladochytriaceae.